UAUAAGUUAAAUUGAUACUUCAUUUAUAAGUUCAUUACUCUCAGUAUAUUUGUUUAAUUGAAAAUAUAUAUAUGGUCUUGUUCAUUUGAAUGAAUCUAACCUUGAGAAUGCAGCAAAGUGUGGAUUGAGUCGACCCAUAGGUUGAUUGGGUCGACCCCGGCACAUCAAGAAAUCAUCUGGCACACUCCUGCAAGAAUAGCACAAAUGAACAGUGAGUUGGGUCGACCCAAGGUAAGCAUGAGUCGACCCAACCUCCAAAGAACCUCAAAACACAACAGAAGAAUACUCUCUGGAUUUACUGAGAGGGUCGACCCACACAGUGGUUGAGUCGACCCAAGCUUGAGUCGACCCAAACCCUGAGAGGGUCGACCCAAAUGCAAGACAGAAAGACAGACAGAAAAUGGUUCUCUGGAAUUACUGAGAGGGUCGACCCAAGAAGAAGUUGAGUCGACCCAAGUGAACUUUGAGUCGACCCAAA
Molecule: long non-coding RNA, 478 nt
Filed under: Phoenix dactylifera (date palm)
Lineage: Eukaryota; Viridiplantae; Streptophyta; Magnoliopsida; Arecales; Arecaceae
Description: long non-coding RNA (PDAC_LNC014283)
Source: RNAcentral